RNAcentral lists this ribosomal RNA (406 nucleotides) under uncultured bacterium. RNAcentral describes it as "partial 16S ribosomal RNA". It matches the Rfam family "Bacterial small subunit ribosomal RNA", at positions 30 to 526 of the family's 1533-position model. The record is from RNAcentral.
AUUGAACGCUGGCGGCAGGCCUAACACAUGCAAGUCGAACGAGUGGCGGACGGGUGAGUAAUGUCUGGGAAACUGCCUGAUGGAGGGGGAUACCUCCUGGAACCGGUACCUAAUCCCGCAUACCAUCGGAUGUGCCCAGAUUGGAUGAGCUAGUAGGUGGGGUAAAGGCUCACCUAGGCGACGAUCCCUAGCUGGUCUGAGAGGAUGACCGGCCACACUGGAACUGAGACACGGUCCAGACUCCUACGGGAGGCAGCAGUGGGGAAUAUUGCACAAUGGGCGCAAGCCUGACGCAGCCAUGCCGCGUGUAUGAAGAAGGCCUUCGGGUUGUAAAGUACUGUCAGCGGGGAGGCGGUACCCGAAGAAGAAGCACCGGCUAACUCCGUGCCAGCCGCCGCGGUAAUAC